RNAcentral lists this ribosomal RNA (329 nucleotides) under uncultured bacterium. Its description in RNAcentral is "bacterial SSU rRNA". It matches the Rfam family "Bacterial small subunit ribosomal RNA", at positions 568 to 898 of the family's 1533-position model. The record is from RNAcentral.
UGCGCAGGCGGUUUUGUAAGUUUGUCGUGAAAUCCCCGGGCUCAACCUGGGAAUGGCGAUGAAGACUGCAAGGCUAGAAUCUGGCAGAGGGGGUAGAAUUCCACGUGUAGCAGUGAAAUGCGUAGAGAUGUGGAGGAACACCGAUGGCGAAGGCAGCCCCCUGGGUCAAGAUUGACGCUCAUGCACGAAAGCGUGGGGAGCAAACAGGAUUAGAUACCCUGGUAGUCCACGCCCUAAACGAUGUCUACUAGUUGUCGGGUUUUAAUUAACUUGGUAACGCAGCUAACGCGUGAAGUAGACCGCCUGGGGAGUACGGUCGCAAGAUUAAA